RNAcentral lists this ribosomal RNA (253 nucleotides) under uncultured bacterium. RNAcentral describes it as "partial 16S ribosomal RNA". It matches the Rfam family "Bacterial small subunit ribosomal RNA", at positions 524 to 776 of the family's 1533-position model. The record is from RNAcentral.
UACGAAGGGUGCUAGCGUUGUUCGGAAUUACUGGGCGUAAAGCGCGCGUAGGCGGUUAUUCAAGUCAGGGGUGAAAUCCUUGGGCUCAACCCAAGAAUUGCCUUUGAAACUGUAUAGCUAGAGUGUCGGAGGGGAUAGCGCAAUUCCUAAUGUAGAGGUGAAAUUCGUAGAUAUUAGGAGGAACACCGGUGGCGAAGGCGGCUAUCUGGACGACAACUGACGCUGAGGCGCGAAAGCACGGGGAUCAAACAGG